CUGUGUGCGUGUGUCGCUUGCGCGAGCGCCGGCCGUCGCCCCGUCGGCGCUGUUUGUACUCGGGCAGAUCCUCACUGCCUACGCUAAUCCAAGGACGGCGAAACACACCGCAGCAAAGCGAGCAUCUUUGUAAACGAGCAGGAACCAGGUUGCCAACACACGCACGAAGAGCAACUGCCUUUCCAACUGUGCUGUGUGUGCUGCGCUUGCAUUGGUGUGCAAGUGGAGGAGAGGUCCAGUUAAUGUCGUGCUGCACUAUAAUAGCCGUCGAAAUAUUCUGCUUAAGACAUUUAUCACUUUUCUGAAAUCCUAACAGCUCAAACAUCACCCCUAAAAGCAGUUUGAGUGCAUGUAUUUGCCUUCAUAGACACGUUGUAGCUGAAGUCAUUGUAUUUUUCAUCCAGA
This is a non-coding RNA of Dermacentor albipictus, 405 nucleotides long. The record is from RefSeq and is a predicted model, not a curated record. NCBI's taxonomy places the organism in Eukaryota, Metazoa, Arthropoda, Arachnida, Ixodida, Ixodidae.